GAUGAAGUUACCAAGAGCGCAUGGUGGAUGCCUUGGCACUAGAAGGCGAUGAAGGACGUGGUUACCUGCGAUAAGCCGGGAGUAGGCGGAAGCUGCCUGUGAUCCCCGGAUCUCCGAAUGGGACAACCCACACAGAGUAAUGUCUGUGUACGUUACGGUGAAUACAUAGCCGUAUCGAGCUAACCCGCUGAACUGAAACAUCUAAGUAGGCGGAGGAAGAGAAAACAAUCGUGAUUCCCUGAGUAGUGGCGAGCGAAACGGGAACAGCCCAAACCUUGCGGUUUUACCGCGAGGGGUUGUAGGGCCUUCGUAUAGGAGUUACCAAUCAUUAGCAUAGCGGAAGUCUCUGGAACGAGACACCAUAGAGGGCGAUCGUCCCGUACGCGAAAUGCUCAAUGACUCCUGGAGGUACCCUGAGUACGACGGAAUAAGUGAAAGUCUGUCGGAAUCUGCGAGAACCAUCUCGUAAGGCUAAAUACUCUUCAGUGACCGAUAGUGAACUAGUACCGUGAGGGAAAGGCGAAAAGAACCCUUCAGAAGGGAGUGAAAUAGUACCUGAAACCGUAUGCUUACAAACGGUGGGAGCGAGUCCGGAUUUAUCCGGAGGAGUGACCGCGUGCCUUUUGCUUAAUGAGCC
RNAcentral lists this ribosomal RNA (637 nucleotides) under Bacteroidota bacterium. RNAcentral's name for it is "partial 23S ribosomal RNA". It matches the Rfam family "Bacterial large subunit ribosomal RNA", at positions 1 to 621 of the family's 2925-position model. Lineage: Bacteria; Pseudomonadati; Bacteroidota. The record is from RNAcentral.